UUAAUCUACUUUCCUAAAAUAGAGGCAUAUUUUUCAGUAAAACCAGAGCAGGAUCUUGUUGUUGUGAAGGAUGUCUUCAGCUUCAAUGUACACUUGGGAUGUUGAGAAUAGCCAGCGUCAAGCGGCUUGUCAGGACAGAGUGAAAGAGGCAACACGGAAACAGAGCAAUAAUUUUCUCGUUUUCCACACGAGGUUGUAGUUCUGGGGGUGUAAAUGUUUUUACUGACGAGGAUUUCAGUAUGAAGCUCAUGUUGGUUUGAAACUUGGUACAAUCCUUCCACCUCAGCUUCCUGAGUGCCACACUUGCAGGCAUGCACUAUUAAGCCUCCCUUCAAGCUCUUGAAGGUCCAACAGCUGUCUUAUGUCAGUAGCAAGGAAAAUGUUCACAGCACACCGGAAUGCUGCAAGACGGUUUAUGGUGUUGCAAUAAAAGAAAGCAUUGGCAAUGGGGCACAUUAUCUAAAUUAUGCUAUCUCUCGGCAGAAGAGCUGCGCAGCUGAGUGGCUGCAUGCUGUCCUCCCAGAUGGUCUGUGAUGGUAGGAAGCCUGUAUUCAUACCCAGCUUCGUUUCCAGCAGCAGAGCUGAGAACAGCAGCCCUGGCUGGGAACCCACUGUUCUUUAAUCCUUAGAGCUUGAACUUGGCUCUCAGUUGCCUCCAGUGUGAAAAAAAAAAGCCCACUAUUCUAAGAUUUGAGUUUAACUUCAGAUGAAGCAUGGAUAUUUAUGGUUUUCUUUGUUGGUGAUCCUGGAAAAAUCUUCAGAGAAAUUGUUGGGAAUGAAAACCUAUCUUUCAAAUUUCUUGGUAAAAUGCAGGUGUGAACAAAAAAACUAAACAUUUUCGUGGCUCUUCCAUUCCAUGUACCCUUCCCAUCAAUGCCUUUGAUAUGUUUGUAACAAACUGGAGCAUACUAAGUAACUGGGAAGGAGAAUGGGUCGUUCUGUGACGUUUGGAAUCUACAUUUGGUGGAGGAGCUGGGAUGACCGCAAAGCCCGGACUGUUAACUAUACGUGAGGUCAGAGCGUCAACAACUUCCAAGAAUACUAGGAGUGAACACCAGGAAAAAGCUAAAUGCUAAAUGUCAAAAGGCACAGAGAAAUGUCUUUACUGGAAAUAGCCUGACGUCUUUGGAGAGGCUGUGGUUCCCGGUACAGCAGUCGAGCAGAGGGGAAGAAACUCAGCGUUCUCUCCAGACGUGUUGUGUUUGUGCCUGUGAGCUGAAGGCUGUUUUUCUUCCUAUUCUGAUGUCGAGGAGCAAAUUCCAGGACGGACAUCACAAACACAAAAUUCAUCGUUGAGAAGGAGAAUGACAAAACCCCGCGCUUAGUGUGUGUGAGAAGCUCUUCAUAUAAGCUUGUAUGCCAUUAUGUCUCUGCCCUGUGUGAAGUCGGAUUCCCCUGCAGACGAAGAUCUCAAACAUGGAAUGUCCUCUUACAAAACCUUUUAUUACUUGAGCACAAUUUAAUAACAAACUUACCCCUUGGGAAGCCUUCCAAACCUUGUCAAUAUUUUUGUCUUGGAGCCAAAAUGUACUUCUCUACCCCAAAUGACAGAAAUUAUAUAUAACACAGACAUGUAGUCUCCCUGUCCUUGUCACCUUCCUUUUACAGACUCUCAGCCAUCAUUGCAUGUUGGUGGAAUGGAAAUCCAGGAUCAGUUUUUACCGUAACUAUAGGAAACAAUGCACAUUUUUUGAAGUAUACAGAAUUAUAUAUGACUCCAGGCAUACCUGUUUACUGAGUUGUUGACUUGAAUAGGCCCAGUUCCUUUCAUUAAGUCUUAAUUUUCCCAUCUGCAAAACCCUUCUGCAGAAUUAUGCAAGUAGAAAUAAAAUUAAAUAAAAUAAAAAAAUUGGUACUAAGUAGA
This is a long non-coding RNA of Alexandromys fortis (reed vole), 1864 nucleotides long. RefSeq lists it as uncharacterized. Lineage: Eukaryota; Metazoa; Chordata; Mammalia; Rodentia; Cricetidae. The record is from RefSeq and is a predicted model, not a curated record. The transcript is spliced from 7 exons.